AUUGAACGCUGGCGGCAUGCUUUGCACAUGCAAGUCGAACGGCAGCGGGGAGGAGCUUGCUUCUCUGCCGGCGAGUGGCGACCGGGUGAGUAAUACAUCGGAACGUGUCGAGAAGAGGGGGAUAACCACCCGAAAGGGUGGCUAAUACCGCAUAAAUUCUGAGGAAGAAGGCUGGGGACCUGGGAAUAGGCCUAGCGCUUUUUGAGCGGCCGAUGUCGGAUUAGCUAGUUGGUGAGGUAAAGGCUCACCAAGGCGAAGAUCUGUAGCGGGUCUGAGAGGAUGAUCCGCCACACUGGGACUGAGACACGGCCCAGACUCCUACGGGAGGCAGCAGUGGGGAAUUUUGGACAAUGGGGGCAACCCUGAUCCAGCCAUGCCGCGUGUAUGAAGAAGGCCUUAGGGUUGUAAAGUACUUUUGUUAGGGAAGAAAAGUCAGCUGUGAAUAAUGGCUGAUACUGACGGUACCUAAAGAAUAAGCACCGGCUAACUACGUG
This 494-nucleotide ribosomal RNA is filed under the name uncultured bacterium. RNAcentral's name for it is "partial 16S ribosomal RNA". It matches the Rfam family "Bacterial small subunit ribosomal RNA", at positions 30 to 507 of the family's 1533-position model. The record is from RNAcentral.